AGUGAACGCUGGCGGUAGGCCUAACACAUGCAAGUCGAACGGCAGCACAGUAAGAGCUUGCUCUUACGGGUGGCGAGUGGCGGACGGGUGAGGAAUACAUCGGAAUCUACUUUUUCGUGGGGGAUAACGUAGGGAAACUUACGCUAAUACCGCAUACGACCUACGGGUGAAAGCAGGGGAUCUUCGGACCUUGCGCGAUUGAAUGAGCCGAUGUGGGAUUAGCUAGUUGGCGGGGUAAAGGCCCACCAAGGCGACGAUCCGUAGCUGGUCUGAGAGGAUGAUCAGCCACACUGGAACUGAGACACGGUCCAGACUCCUACGGGAGGCAGCAGUGGGGAAUAUUGGACAAUGGGCGCAAGCCUGAUCCAGCCAUACCGCGUGGGUGAAGAAGGCCUUCGGGUUGUAAAGCCCUUUUGUUGGGAAAGAAGAGCAGCAGGUUAAUACCCCGCUGUUCUGACGGUACCCAAAGAAUAAGCACCGGCUAACUUCGU
This 491-nucleotide ribosomal RNA is filed under the name uncultured bacterium. Its description in RNAcentral is "partial 16S ribosomal RNA". It matches the Rfam family "Bacterial small subunit ribosomal RNA", at positions 29 to 506 of the family's 1533-position model. The record is from RNAcentral.